This 101-nucleotide Y RNA is filed under the name Prolemur simus (greater bamboo lemur). RNAcentral describes it as "Y RNA (ENSPSMG00000014054.1)". It matches the Rfam family "Y RNA". From Rfam's summary of the family: Y RNAs are components of the Ro ribonucleoprotein particle (Ro RNP), in association with Ro60 and La proteins. The Y RNAs and Ro60 and La proteins are well conserved, but the function of the Ro RNP is not known. Lineage: Eukaryota; Metazoa; Chordata; Mammalia; Primates; Lemuridae. The record is from Rfam by way of RNAcentral.
GGCUGGUCUGAGCAUAGUGGUAUUAACAACUAAUUGAUCACAACAAGUUACAGAUUCCUUUGUUCCUUUCCACUCCCACUGCUUGACCUGACUAGCCUUAA